Molecule: ribosomal RNA, 191 nt
Filed under: uncultured Glomus
Lineage: Eukaryota; Fungi; Glomeromycota; Glomeromycetes; Glomerales; Glomeraceae
Description: partial 18S ribosomal RNA
Rfam family: Eukaryotic small subunit ribosomal RNA
Source: RNAcentral
AGCAGCCGCGGUAAUUCCAGCUCCAAUAGCGUAUAUUAAAGUUGCUGCAGUUAAAAAGCUCGUAGUUGAAUUUCGGGAUCAAUAUGUUGGUCGUGCCUUGGUACGUACUAGCUCAUUGGUUUCUCCCUUCUGACGAACCAUGAUGUCAUUAAUUUGAUGUCAUGGGGAAUCAGGACUGUUACUUUGAAAAA